AUUGAACGCUGGCGGCAGGCCUAACACAUGCAAGUCGAGCGGAUGAAGGGAGCUUGCUCCUGGAUUCAGCGGCGGACGGGUGAGUAAUGCCUAGGAAUCUGCCUGGUAGUGGGGGAUAACGUCCGGAAACGGGCGCUAAUACCGCAUACAUCCUGAGGGAGAAAGUGGGGGAUCUUCGGACCUCACGCUAUCAGAUGAGCCUAGGUCGGAUUAGCUAGUUGGUGGGGUAAAGGCCUACCAAGGCGACGAUCCGUAACUGGUCUGAGAGGAUGAUCAGUCACACUGGAACUGAGACACGGUCCAGACUCCUACGGGAGGCAGCAGUGGGGAAUAUUGGACAAUGGGCGAAAGCCUGAUCCAGCCAUGCCGCGUGUGUGAAGAAGGUCUUCGGAUUGUAAAGCACCUUAAGUUGGGAGGAAGGGCAGUAAGUUAAUACCUUGCUGUUUUGACGUUACCAACAGAAUAAGCACCGGCUAACUUCGUG
Molecule: ribosomal RNA, 484 nt
Filed under: uncultured bacterium
Lineage: Bacteria
Description: partial 16S ribosomal RNA
Rfam family: Bacterial small subunit ribosomal RNA
Source: RNAcentral